GAUGAACGCUAGCUACAGGCUUAACACAUGCAAGUCGAGGGGCAUCAGGAAGAAAGCUUGCUUUCUUUGCUGGCGACCGGCGCACGGGUGAGUAACACGUAUCCAACCUGCCCUUUACUCGGGGAUAGCCUUUCGAAAGAAAGAUUAAUACCCGAUAGCAUAAUGAUUCCGCAUGGUUUCAUUGUUAAAGGAUUCCGGUAAAGGAUGGGGAUGCGUUCCAUUAGGUUGUUGGUGAGGUAACGGCUCACCAAGCCUUCGAUGGAUAGGGGUUCUGAGAGGAAGGUCCCCCACAUUGGAACUGAGACACGGUCCAAACUCCUACGGGAGGCAGCAGUGAGGAAUAUUGGUCAAUGGACGAGAGUCUGAACCAGCCAAGUAGCGUGAAGGAUGACUGCCCUAUGGGUUGUAAACUUCUUUUAUACGGGAAUAAAGUUAGCCACGUGUGGCUUUUUGUAUGUACCGUAUGAAUAAGGAUCGGCUAACUCCGUG
RNAcentral lists this ribosomal RNA (489 nucleotides) under uncultured bacterium. RNAcentral's name for it is "bacterial SSU rRNA". It matches the Rfam family "Bacterial small subunit ribosomal RNA", at positions 28 to 507 of the family's 1533-position model. The record is from RNAcentral.